Cicer arietinum (chickpea) is the source of this 838-nucleotide non-coding RNA. The record is from RefSeq and is a predicted model, not a curated record. NCBI's taxonomy places the organism in Eukaryota, Viridiplantae, Streptophyta, Magnoliopsida, Fabales, Fabaceae.
AACGAACCCUUUCCAAAAGUCCCACAAAUCCAGCACAAUCAAACUCCACAGCAGGACAACAACCAGAACAACAACAUCACGGGAUUACUGAUCAACUCAUAAACCACGUCAAAUCUUUCACCAUUGACACCUUCAAAAAUUUCCCUCUCCAAGAUACAACUUUGAAGGAUGGACUGAGAGUUUCUAGAGAUAGUUGAAAUUGUGGAGAUUGAUUGACCUUUUUUAAUAUCUUUUUGAAAGAGGCGCUGAAUCAGGUAAAUUAUCGUGUGAUAAUUGUUGGGUGUGUUCCCAUAUAAGAUACUUGGAGUGUGGGCGGUUUUUCCCAAACAGAUGAAGAUGAAGCCACUUAUAGUAAAGAAGUUGAAUCUAAUUCAACCAGAGUUCGAAAUGAUCUUUCUCAGUGGCAAGAGAGACAUGCAGUUCUCAUACUCUCAACAGUUAAGGAAAUAUCACAUCUGAGAUAUGUACUAUGUCCUCGCCAUUUGAAGGAAAAUCAAUUCUGGAAAAUAUACUUUACGCUUACUAAGAGCCAUCUUGCCCCAUAUGAGCUACGUGCCAUACAACAAGAGAAACUGAAACAGAUGGCAAUGGAAGAUGAUAAAUCUUCAGAUAACCAUCCAUACGAAAUUGAAAUGGCAGAAGCAAAGCACGGGAACUUCAUAGAGCCUUUGCCACCCUCGUAGUAAGAAAAUAGUCACAGAUCAUAAUGGUUGGUAGUAGCUUGAACAUAACAUGUAGUAAACUAUUAAUUUCUUUGGUGAUAUAGGAACUGUUAUGUAACAUUUGAAGUUUGACAAUGCCUUCCUUCAAUUGAUAUUUCAUAUUGUUUCUGAAGUUA